UGAGGUUACGGCCUCGGGUGAAAAGGGAACCAGGUGAGAAUCCUGGACAGACGGUGCUGCUGUGUGCCCCCUGUGAAAUCCCGCACCAGUCCACUGCGCGAUAAUAGAUUCAGGCGCGGGAAGGGCUGGUAGCAUGAAAGGGUAGGGGCGAGUCAGAAGACCUGCCAAUUCGCU
Molecule: non-coding RNA, 174 nt
Filed under: bovine gut metagenome
Source: RNAcentral